AUACGGAGGGUGCGAGCGUUGUUCGGAAUUAUUGGGCGUAAAGAGCAUGUAGGCGGUCUGUUAAGUCUGGUGUGAAAGCCCGGGGCUCAACCCCGGAAGUGCAUUGGAUACUGGCAGACUUGAGUAUGGGAGAGGAAAGCGGAAUUCCGAGUGUAGGAGUGAAAUCCGUAGAUAUUCGGAGGAACACCAGUGGCGAAGGCGGCUUUCUGGACCAAUACUGACGCUGAGAUGCGAAAGCGUGGGGAGCAAACAGGAUUAGAGACCCGGGUAGUCC
RNAcentral lists this ribosomal RNA (274 nucleotides) under uncultured bacterium. Its description in RNAcentral is "partial 16S ribosomal RNA". It matches the Rfam family "Bacterial small subunit ribosomal RNA", at positions 523 to 796 of the family's 1533-position model. The record is from RNAcentral.